UCUGCGAUAAGCGCCGGUAAGGUGAUAUGAACCGUUAUAACCGGCGAUACCCGAAUGGGGAAACCCAGUGUGAUUCGUCACACUAUCAUUAACUGAAUCCAUAGGUUAAUGAGGCGAACCGGGGGAACUGAAACAUCUAAGUACCCCGAGGAAAAGAAAUCAACCGAGAUUCCCCCAGUAGCGGCGAGCGAACGGGGAGGAGCCCAGAGCCUGAAUCAGCAUGUGUGUUAGUGGAAGCGUCUGGAAAGGCGCGCGAUACAGGGUGACAGCCCCGUACACAAAAGCGCAUGUGCUGUGAGCUCGAUGAGUAGGGCGGGACACGUGGUAUCCUGUCUGAAUAUGGGGGGACCAUCCUCCAAGGCUAAAUACUCCUGACUGACCGAUAGUGAACCAGUACCGUGAGGGAAAGGCGAAAAGAACCCCGGCGAGGGGAGUGAAAAAGAACCUGAAACCGUGUACGUACAA
This 465-nucleotide ribosomal RNA is filed under the name Salmonella enterica subsp. enterica serovar Derby. RNAcentral's name for it is "partial 23S ribosomal RNA". It matches the Rfam family "Bacterial large subunit ribosomal RNA", at positions 65 to 569 of the family's 2925-position model. Lineage: Bacteria; Pseudomonadati; Pseudomonadota; Gammaproteobacteria; Enterobacterales; Enterobacteriaceae. The record is from RNAcentral.